AGUGAACGCUGGCGGUAGGCCUAACACAUGCAAGUCGAACGGCAGCACAGUAAGAGCCUGCUCUUACGGGUGGCGAGUGGCGGACGGGUGAGGAAUACAUCGGAAUCUACUUUUUCGUGGGGGAUAACGUAGGGAAACUUACGCUAAUACCGCAUACGACCUACGGGUGAAAGCAGGGGAUCUUCGGACCUUGGGCGAUUGAAUGAGCCGAUGUCGGAUUAGCUAGUUGGCGGGGUAAAGGCCCACCAAGGCGACGAUCCGUAGCUGGUCUGAGAGGAUGAUCAGCCACACUGGAACUGAGACACGGUCCAGACUCCUACGGGAGGCAGCAGUGGGGAAUAUUGGACAAUGGGCGCAAGCCUGAUCCAGCCAUACCGCGUGGGUGAAGAAGGCCUUCGGGUUGUAAAGCCCUUUUGUUGGGAAAGAAAAGCAGCAGGUUAAUACCCCGCUGUUCUGACGGUACCCAAAGAAUAAGCACCGGCUAACUUCGUG
Molecule: ribosomal RNA, 492 nt
Filed under: uncultured bacterium
Lineage: Bacteria
Description: partial 16S ribosomal RNA
Rfam family: Bacterial small subunit ribosomal RNA
Source: RNAcentral